This 253-nucleotide ribosomal RNA is filed under the name uncultured bacterium. Its description in RNAcentral is "partial 16S ribosomal RNA". It matches the Rfam family "Bacterial small subunit ribosomal RNA", at positions 524 to 776 of the family's 1533-position model. The record is from RNAcentral.
UACGUAGGGGGCAAGCGUUGUCCGGAUUCAUUGGGCGUAAAGAGCGUGUAGGCGGCCAGGUAGGUCGGUUGUGAAAACUGGAGGCUCAACCUUCAGAGGUCGACCGAAACCAUCUGGCUAGAGUCCGGGAGAGGAGAGUGGAAUUCCUGGUGUAGCGGUGAAAUGCGUAGAUAUCAAGAGGAACACCUGCGGCGAAGGCGGGUUGCUGGGCCGACACUGACGCUGAGGCGCGAAAGCCAGGGGAGCGAACGGG